CUCAGACUCCGCAUUACUCUUUCAAUUGUAUAUUGCGCAUAGGCUGGGAUAAUCACCAGCAGAGCAAUGGGGCAAAAAUAGUAAAACAAGGACAGAAACCCUUGGGUAAAUAUAUAGUAGAUUUUUAUCAUUUUCUUCGCACUAUCAAACUUGAAUAAAACAACCAAUGCAUUUUUUCCCAACUAUUUACAUCAUUUGGAGAGUUUCAUUGUUCCGUUGUGAUUAGCAAAAACUUGAGACAAUGAAGGAGUCUAUAGUGCAUGAGGAAGAUUGAGAUUCUUUUCGCUGACAAGAGAUUCUUCGCCAUGGCUGAGGUAGCUCAAUGCUGACAUCCUGUAUAGGCAGGUGAAUACUAAAAUGUGCAAUCCAAUAGUGUAGAAGAAUACAAAUGUCCGAGCAUAUUUGUUACCAAGAAGAAAACGGCCACUACUGAGAGUAAUCUUGUCUCUCAAACCUAAUUCCUUGUAUCUUUGAUCUCUUUCCUUCUUCGAAAAC
RNAcentral lists this unclassified non-coding RNA (495 nucleotides) under Hevea brasiliensis (rubber tree). The record is from RNAcentral. Lineage: Eukaryota; Viridiplantae; Streptophyta; Magnoliopsida; Malpighiales; Euphorbiaceae.